Long non-coding RNA from Ixodes scapularis (black-legged tick), 348 nucleotides. RefSeq lists it as uncharacterized. The record is from RefSeq and is a predicted model, not a curated record. NCBI's taxonomy places the organism in Eukaryota, Metazoa, Arthropoda, Arachnida, Ixodida, Ixodidae. The transcript is spliced from 3 exons.
CAAUCCUAAGAUGUUCAAGGUAUUUCUUGAAAGAUUGGGGAAAAUGACGUAAUUCAUAUACGCCAUCACAAACUUGCUCUUUGUAUCAUCGACACUAAUGUCCAUUCGAUGUUGAAAGGUAUCGGGCAAAUUUAAAAGGCUCGAACACUCCCUUGUGAUAGGUAAAAACGGUUGUCGAAACCUCAUCUGGGUCUAUAUCGGUUAUCCUAGACUGCAGUCAAGCGUUGUGAACACUUUCGUGUAGUCGAUCAAGGGAAACUGGUAUGAAUCCUUUACCGUUACAGCGUUGAGGCUGCGACGGGAGAAGCCCAACGACUCUGGGAGUUGCAAACAGCUCCGGUGUCGAUC